RNAcentral lists this ribosomal RNA (253 nucleotides) under uncultured bacterium. RNAcentral's name for it is "partial 16S ribosomal RNA". It matches the Rfam family "Bacterial small subunit ribosomal RNA", at positions 524 to 776 of the family's 1533-position model. The record is from RNAcentral.
UACAGAGGUCCCAAGCGCUGUUCGGAUUCACUGGGCGUAAAGGGUGCGCAGGUGGGUUUGCAAGUUCGAUGUGAAAGCCCCGGGCUUAACCCGGGAAUGGCAUUGGAUACUGCAGAUCUGGAGGAUCGGAGGGGGGACUGGAAUUCUUGGUGUAGCAGUGAAAUGCGUAGAUAUCAAGAGGAACACCAGUGGCGAAGGCGAGUCCCUGGACGAUACCUGACACUGAGGCACGAAAGCUAGGGGAGCAAACAGG